Molecule: ribosomal RNA, 254 nt
Filed under: uncultured bacterium
Lineage: Bacteria
Description: partial 16S ribosomal RNA
Rfam family: Bacterial small subunit ribosomal RNA
Source: RNAcentral
UACGUAGGGGGCAAGCGUUGUCCGGAUUCAUUGGGCGUAAAGAGCUCGUAGGCGGCUUGGCAAGUCGGGUGUGAAAACUUCAGGCUCAACCUGGAGCGGCCACUCGAUACUGCCAUGGCUAGAGUCCGGUAGGGGACCACGGAAUUCCUGGUGUAGCGGUGAAAUGCGCAGAUAUCAGGAGGAACACCGGUGGCGAAGGCGGGAUCCUGGGCCAGUACUGACGCUGAGGAGCGAAAGCGUGGGGAGCAAACAGG